RNAcentral lists this ribosomal RNA (462 nucleotides) under Campylobacter sp. canine oral taxon 283. Its description in RNAcentral is "bacterial SSU rRNA". It matches the Rfam family "Bacterial small subunit ribosomal RNA", at positions 9 to 488 of the family's 1533-position model. The record is from RNAcentral. Lineage: Bacteria; Pseudomonadati; Campylobacterota; Epsilonproteobacteria; Campylobacterales; Campylobacteraceae.
GAGUUUGAUUCUGGCUCAGAGUGAACGCUGGCGGCGUGCCUAAUACAUGCAAGUCGAACGGACAAGUAAGAGCUUGCUCUUAUGAGUUAGUGGCGCACGGGUGAGUAAUGUAUAGCUAAUCUGCCCUACACUAGAGGACAACAGUUGGAAACGACUGCUAAUACUCUAUACUCCUUCUUUACAUAAGUUGAGUCGGGAAAGUUUUUCGGUGUAGGAUGAGGCUAUAUCGUAUCAGCUAGUUGGUAAGGUAAUGGCUUACCAAGGCUAUGACGCGUAACUGGUCUGAGAGGAUGAUCAGUCACACUGGAACUGAGACACGGUCCAGACUCCUACGGGAGGCAGCAGUAGGGAAUAUUGCUCAAUGGGGGAAACCCUGAAGCAGCAACGCCGCGUGGAGGAUGACACUUUUCGGAGCGUAAACUCCUUUUCUUGGGAAAGAAUUAUGACCGUACCCAGGNNGCC